Molecule: unclassified non-coding RNA, 343 nt
Filed under: Klebsiella pneumoniae subsp. pneumoniae
Lineage: Bacteria; Pseudomonadati; Pseudomonadota; Gammaproteobacteria; Enterobacterales; Enterobacteriaceae
Description: partial 16S-23S ribosomal RNA intergenic spacer
Rfam family: Salmonella enterica Typhi npcRNA 44 (bases 239-336)
Source: RNAcentral
CCUUAAAGAACCUGCCUUUGUAGUGCUCACACAGAUUGUCUGAUGAACGUAAAGAAGCAAGGCGUCUUGCGAUUGAGACUUCAGUGUCCCCUUCGUCUAGAGGCCCAGGACACCGCCCUUUCACGGCGGUAACAGGGGUUCGAAUCCCCUAGGGGACGCCACUUGCUGGUUCGUGAGUGAAAGACGCGUGCCGAUGUAUCUCAAAACUCAUCUUCGGGUGACGUUUGAGAUAUUUGCUCUUUAAUAAUCUGGAUCAAGCUGAAAAUUGAAACGACACACAGUUAAUGUGUGUUCGAGUCUCUCAAAUUUUCGCAAUCAGAAGUGAAACAUCUUCGGGUUGUGA